GACGAACGCUGGCGGCGUGCUUAACACAUGCAAGUCGAACGGAAAGGCCUCGCCUUUGUGGGGUGCUCGAGUGGCGAACGGGUGAGUAACACGUGAGUUACCUGCCUUUCACUCUGGGAUAACUUUAGGAAACUGGGGCUAAUACCGGAUAUGAGCUCCUGCUGCUUGGUGGGUGUUGGAUAGUUUCGGCGGCUGGGGAUGGACUCGCGGCCUAUCGGCUUGUUGGUGGGGUAGUGGUUCACCAAGGUUUUGACGGGUAGCCGGCCUGAGAGGGUCAGCGGCCACAUUGGGACGGAGAUACGGCCAAGACUCCUACGGGAGGCAGCAGUGGGGAAUAUUGCACAAUGGGCGGAGGCCUGAUGCAGCAACGCCGCGUGGGGGAUGACGGCCUUCGGGUUGUAAACCGCUUUCGCCUGUGACGAGGCGUGAGUGACGGUAAUGGGUAAAGAAGCACCGGCUAACUACGUG
Molecule: ribosomal RNA, 468 nt
Filed under: uncultured bacterium
Lineage: Bacteria
Description: partial 16S ribosomal RNA
Rfam family: Bacterial small subunit ribosomal RNA
Source: RNAcentral